This 98-nucleotide transfer RNA is filed under the name Vulcanisaeta souniana JCM 11219. RNAcentral's name for it is "tRNA-Ile". It matches the Rfam family "tRNA". From Rfam's summary of the family: Transfer RNA (tRNA) molecules are approximately 80 nucleotides in length. Their secondary structure includes four short double-helical elements and three loops (D, anti-codon, and T loops). Further hydrogen bonds mediate the characteristic L-shaped molecular structure. tRNAs have two regions of fundamental functional importance: the anti-codon, which is responsible for specific mRNA codon recognition, and the 3' end, to which the tRNAs corresponding amino acid is attached (by aminoacyl-tRNA synthetases). tRNAs cope with the degeneracy of the genetic code in two manners: having more than one tRNA (with a specific anti-codon) for a particular amino acid; and 'wobble' base-pairing, i.e. permitting non-standard base-pairing at the 3rd anti-codon position. The record is from RNAcentral. Lineage: Archaea; Thermoproteati; Thermoproteota; Thermoprotei; Thermoproteales; Thermoproteaceae.
GGGCCCGUAGUCUAGCUUGGUAGGAUGCCCAGGGGCUGAUGCCCCGUACAAGCCUGACGCGCGGGAGAUCCCGGGUUCAAGUCCCGGCGGGCCCACCA